RNAcentral lists this ribosomal RNA (468 nucleotides) under uncultured bacterium. Its description in RNAcentral is "partial 16S ribosomal RNA". It matches the Rfam family "Bacterial small subunit ribosomal RNA", at positions 28 to 507 of the family's 1533-position model. The record is from RNAcentral.
GACGAACGCUGGCGGCGUGCUUAACACAUGCAAGUCGAACGGAAAGGCCCUGCUUUUGUGGGGUGCUCGAGUGGCGAACGGGUGAGUAACACGUGAGUAACCUGCCCUUGACUUUGGGAUAACUUCAGGAAACUGGGGCUAAUACCGGAUAGGAGCUCCUGCUGCAUGGUGGGGGUUGGAAAGUUUCGGCGGUUGGGGAUGGACUCGCGGCUUAUCAGCUUGUUGGUGGGGUAGUGGCUUACCAAGGCUUUGACGGGUAGCCGGCCUGAGAGGGUGACCGGCCACAUUGGGACUGAGAUACGGCCCAGACUCCUACGGGAGGCAGAAGUGGGGAAUAUUGCACAAUGGGCGGAAGCCUGAUGCAGCAACGCCGCGUGCGGGAUGACGGCCUUCGGGUUGUAAACCGCUUUCGCCUGUAACGAAGCGUGAGUGACGGUAAUGGGUAAAGAAGCACCGGCUAACUACGUG